GAGUUUGAUCGUGGCUCAGGACGAACGCUGGCGGUGUGCUUAAUACAUGCAAGUCGAACGAGACUUUCGGGUCUAGUGGCGGACGGCUGAGUAACGCGUAGGUAACGUACCUUUUACUGGGGGAUAACAUCGGGAAACCGGUGCUAAUACCGCAUAAGUCUUCAGUUGAAAUACUGACGAUUAAAGAUUUAUUGGUAGAAGAUCGGCCUGCGUCUGAUUAGCUUGUUGGUAGGGUAAUGGCUUACCAAGGCGAUGAUCAGUAGUUGGUCUGAGAGGAUGACCAGCCAGAGUGGGACUGAGAACGGCCCCACACUUCUACGGAAGGCAGCAGUAGGGAAUUUUGCGCAAUGGGCGAAAGCCUGACGCAGCAACACCGCGUGCGGGAUGAAGGGCCUUGGUUGUAAACCGCUGUCGACAGGGAAUAAAUUGACUGUACCUGUAAAGGAAGCACCGGCUAACUACGUGCCAGCAGCCGCCGUAAC
RNAcentral lists this ribosomal RNA (482 nucleotides) under uncultured bacterium. RNAcentral describes it as "bacterial SSU rRNA". It matches the Rfam family "Bacterial small subunit ribosomal RNA", at positions 9 to 524 of the family's 1533-position model. The record is from RNAcentral.